UGCAGCCUCCUCUAUACAUCCUCCCGCAUCCUCGUGCAACCCCAUGCAUCCCCAUGCAUCCUCGUGCAUCCUCGUGCAACCCCGUGCAACCUUGUGCAUCCUCGUGCAAUGCCCUGCAUCCUUGUGCAUCACCCCCUGCACCCCCUGCACCCUCCUCUAUACAUCCUCCUGCAUCCCCGUGCAUCCCUGUGCAACCUCGUGCAUCCCCUUGCACCCUCGUGUAUCCAUCCUUGUGCAUCCUCGUGCAUCCUCGUGCAUCUCUGUGCAUCCUCGUGCAUCCUCGUGCAUCCCCGUGCAUCCUCGCGUGCCCAUCCUCUAGCAGCCCCGUGCAUCCUCGUGCAUCACCCUGCAUCCUCGUGCACCCUCGUGCACCCUCGUGCAUCCUCGUGCACCCUCGUGCACCCUCGUGCAUCCAUCCCCGUGCAUGCUCGUGCACCCCCCAGGGCGCAGAAGCCCCCCCUGCACCCCGAGGCGCGUGCACGCGGGUGGGACCCCGCGGGCGUGCACAGGAAGGGACCCAACGGGGCCGCGCACAACCGUGCACGCGAGUUUGGGGGGGGGGGGGGUGGGAGGGCUAUCUGCGCGUGCACGAGGCGCGUGCACGGCUCGGUGGGCGUGCACGGGCGGGAGACGUCGCGUGCACGAGCGGUCGGGGCGGGCGCGUGCACGUGGGUGCAGCGCGCGUAAAAUUGCGCGCGCGCGGGCUCAGCGCGCGCGCCCUUCCUCCGAAGCCCCGCCCCUCCCCGCCCUGUCGCCAAGGCAACCGCCCGCCGUCGCCCGGCAACGCGUUGCUAGGCAACGUGAUUGACAGCCCCCCCGCCCCCUUUGGCCACGCCCCCUGGGAGAGGGUACCGCCUCCCCAUUGGCUCCGCCGGGCGGUGUGGUGAGGCUCGUAAGGGGGCGGGGCGGUGCUGGAUUGGCGGUGUGAGCGGCCAAUAAGAAAGAGGGAGAGGCAGCGGCCUAGCCCCGAUUGGCUGAGGAGCGUGAGGUGGGCGGGAGGAGCGCUGAGGGGAGCUCCCUUCCGAUUGGCUGAGGAGCGCGCGGUGGGCGGGAGCAGCUGUGAGGGGAUC
Molecule: long non-coding RNA, 1070 nt
Filed under: Anas platyrhynchos platyrhynchos (common mallard)
Lineage: Eukaryota; Metazoa; Chordata; Aves; Anseriformes; Anatidae
Description: lncRNA (ENSAPLG00000018734.1)
Source: RNAcentral